GUCCACGCCGUAAACUAUGGAUGCUAGCUGUAAGAAGUAUCGACCCUUCUUGUAGCGAAGCUAACGCGUUAAGCAUCCCGCCUGUGGAGUACGAGCGCAAGCUUAAAACAUAAAGGAAUUGACGGGGACCCGCACAAGCGGUGGAGCGUGUUGUUUAAUUCGAUGGUAAGCGAAGAACCUUACCCAGGCUUGACAUCCUUGGAAGCACUGCGAAAGCAGAGUGUGUCUUCGGAAACCAAGUGACAGGUGUUGCAUGGCCGUCGU
RNAcentral lists this ribosomal RNA (264 nucleotides) under uncultured bacterium. Its description in RNAcentral is "partial 16S ribosomal RNA". It matches the Rfam family "Bacterial small subunit ribosomal RNA", at positions 793 to 1055 of the family's 1533-position model. The record is from RNAcentral.